RNAcentral lists this long non-coding RNA (1011 nucleotides) under Marmota monax (woodchuck). The record is from RNAcentral. Lineage: Eukaryota; Metazoa; Chordata; Mammalia; Rodentia; Sciuridae.
GAUCUUGGGACACUCACACUGGCAAUUAAAUUUCAAGGUGAGCUUUGGUGGGGAUGAACCACAUCCAAACCUUAGCAGUCAGAAAAACAAAAUAUUCGGAAAUGAGAGUUUGUAACCACACGAUUGCAGUCAAGGGACCGCCACCUUUGCUUUCAAAAUGAUGGGAGGAUGUUUGCUUCUUGGUGCAUUCUUCCCUCCUAUGUAUUUGUUGAUUCAUUCAUUCAUUCACCAGUCUCACCCUGACUGCUUCUCACUUGGCCUUAGCAUGUGGAAAUGAGAUAUGGUGUCUCUUGACUCAUUCAGCAAAUAUUUAUUGAGACCCUAUUAGAUGGCAGAAACUGUUCUAGGUAUUGGGGACAUGGUGGCAACAACAAAAGACAGGGAAUGUUUAAGCCAGUUGGAGUAAGCCAAACGAAACAAAGGGAAGGAAAUACUACAGUACCAUCUCAAUGCAUGGAAGGUGGGCAGAUCAGCAGUUACGUGACACAGCAGGUCUAGUACCAUGCUAUUUAGAGACUCCGUGGCAGGGAAUUUCAGUGUUUAUGACAAAAUCUCUCAAGUAUGUUUGAAAAUUGUAUGAUGAAAUAUUAUGGGAAAAAAGCUACAGAAAUGACAGGGAAGGCAGUUCAUGGAGGACAUGGCACCCUCCUGUCCUCUUCUUCCUCCACUCUGCAUCACAGUGUCCCCAUGCUGACCUUUAGCCCUGAGUUCUAAAAUUAAGAAUUCUAAUGGCCUCAUGUUGGGUUAUAAAGUGUUCUGCAAAAGUCCUUGAAGACUGUUAAGUCUCUUUUCUGCAGAAGAGGCAGACUUCAUGGCCAGUCAGAUCUAAUCCACUCCAUAGCUAUUUGGUAAGAUGACCUCCAGUAAAUCUCUCUCAAGUGUCUGUCUCUGGGUACCCAACAGCCGAUCUCCCCAUCCUGUCUGAACUGCUUCUGUGUUUGGUACUGAUGGUUACAUAAAGUAUCUCAGAAGUGAAAAGAAUUCCAUGUUCUUGGCUACUAUUAAUCUUGU